UUAAGUGACUAAGCGUACAAGGUGGAUGCCUUGGCAAUCAGAGGCGAAGAAGGACGUGCUAAUCUGCGAAAAGCUUGGAUGAGUCGAUAAGAGGCGUUUAAUCCAAGAUAUCCGAAUGGGGAAACCCAGUAGAUGAAGAAUCUACUAUCAACAAGUGAAUUCAUAGCUUGUUGAGGCAAACCGGGAGAACUGAAACAUCUAAGUACCCCGAGGAAAAGAAAUCAACCGAGAUUUCGUCAGUAGCGGCGAGCGAAAGCGAAAGAGCCAGUAAGUGAUAACAGUAUGGUUAGGAGAAUGUGUUGGGAAGCACAAUCAAAGAGGGUGAUAAUCCCGUAUCUAAAAACCAUAUUGUGGUACUAAGCUAACGAGAAGUAGGGCGGGACACGUGAUAUCCUGUUUGAAGAAGGGGGGACCAUCCUCCAAGGCUAAAUACUCCUGAUUGACCGAUAGUGAACCAGUACUGUGAAGGAAAGGCGAAAAGAACCCCGGUGAGGGGAGUGAAAUAGAACCUGAAACCUUGUACGUACAAGCAGUGGGAGCCUGAAAGGGUGACUGCGUACCUUUUGUAUAAUGGGUCAGCGACUUAUAUUUUGUAGCGAGGUUAACCGAAUAGGGGAGCCGAAGGGAAACCGAGUCUUAACUGGGCGAAGAGUUGCAAGGUAUAGACCCGAAACCCGGUGAUCUAGCCAUGGGCAGGUUGAAGGUUGGGUAACACUAACUGGAGGACCGAACCGACUAAUGUUGAAAAAUUAGCGGAUGACUUGUGGCUGGGGGUGAAAGGCCAAUCAAACCGGGAGAUAGCUGGUUCUCCCCGAAAUCUAUUUAGGUAGAGCCUUGAGGUGACACCUUUGGGGGUAGAGCACUGUUUCGGCUAGGGGGCCAUCCCGGCUUACCAACCCGAUGCAAACUACGAAUACCAAAGAGUGAUACUCAGGAGACACACGGCGGGUGCUAACGUCCGUCGUGGAGAGGGAAACAACCCAGACCGCCAGCUAAGGUCCCCAAGUCUAUAUUAAGUGGGAAACGAAGUGGGAAGGCUUAGACAGCUAGGAUGUUGGCUUAGAAGCAGCCAUCAUUUAAAGAAAGCGUAAUAGCUCACUAGUCGAGUCGGCCUGCGCGGAAGAUGUAACGGGGCUGAAAUAUAGCACCGAAGCUGCGGCAUCAGGCGUAUCACUAAUACGCCUUACGAUUAACAAGCUAGAAUGGUGCGAAGCGACAUGAAAGGUUGUUCAAGCAACCCGAACGUUGAGUCGGGCAUCUUAGAGUGAGGAUUAUUAGUGAUACGCCUGUUGGGUAGGGGAGCGUUGUGUAAGCGGAAGAAGGUUCAUCGAGAGGUGGGCUGGACGUAUCACAAGUGCGAAUGCUGACAUAAGUAACGAUAAAACGGGUGAAAAACCCGUUCGCCGGAAGACCAAGGGUUCCUGUCCAACGUUAAUCGGGGCAGGGUGAGUCGGCCCCUAAGGCGAGGCUGAAAAGCGUAGUCGAUGGGAAACAGGUUAAUAUUCCUGUACUUGGUAAAGCUGCGAUGUGGGGACGGAGUAGGUUAGGUUAUCGCACUGUUGGAUAUGUGCGUUUAAGUUGGUAGGUGGGAAGUUUAGGCAAAUCCGGACUUCCUUAACACAGAGAGAUGAUGACGAGGCUCUACGGAGCUGAAGUAACUGAUACCACACUUCCAGGAAAAGCCACUAAGCGAAAGGCUUUACUAAACCGUACUGAAAACCGACACAGGUGGUCAGGUAGAGAAUACUCAGGCGCUUGAGAGAACUCGGGUGAAGGAACUAGGCAAAAUAGCACCGUAACUUCGGGAGAAGGUGCGCCGGCGUAGAUUGUAAGGGCUAGCCCCUGAAGGUUGAACCGGUCGAAGAUACCAGCUGGCUGCAACUGUUUAUUAAAAACACAGCACUCUGCAAACACGAAAGUGGAGGUAUAGGGUGUGAUGCCUGCCCGGUGCUGGAAGGUUAAUUGAUGGUGUAAUCGCAAGAGAAGCACCUGAUCGAAGCCCCAGUAAACGGCGGCCGUAACUAUAACGGUCCUAAGGUAGCGAAAUUCCUUGUCGGGUAAGUUCCGACCUGCACGAAUGGCAUAAUGAUGGCCAGGCUGUCUCCACCCGAGACUCAGUGAAAUUGAAAUCGCCGUGAAGAUGCGGUGUACCCGCGGCUAGACGGAAAGACCCCGUGAACCUUUACUAUAGCUUGACACUGAACAUUGAAUUUUGAUGUGUAGGAUAGGUGGGAGCCUUUGAAGCAGUGACGCCAGUCAUUGUGGAGGCGACCUUGAAAUACCACCCUUUAACGUUUGAUGUUCUAACGAAGAUGACGAAACGUGGUCUCGGACAGUGUCUGGUGGGUAGUUUGACUGGGGCGGUCUCCUCCCAAAGCGUAACGGAGGAGCACGAAGGUUUGCUAAUCACGGUCGGACAUCGUGAGGUUAGUGCAAUGGUAUAAGCAAGCUUAACUGCGAGACAGACAAGUCGAGCAGGUACGAAAGUAGGUCAUAGUGAUCCGGUGGUUCUGAAUGGAAGGGCCAUCGCUCAACGGAUAAAAGGUACUCCGGGGAUAACAGGCUGAUACCGCCCAAGAGUUCAUAUCGACGGCGGUGUUUGGCACCUCGAUGUCGGCUCAUCACAUCCUGGGGCUGAAGUAGGUCCCAAGGGUAUGGCUGUUCGCCAUUUAAAGUGGUACGCGAGCUGGGUUUAGAACGUCGUGAGACAGUUCGGUCCCUAUCUGCCGUGGGCGUAGGAUGAUUGAUUGGGGCUGCUCCUAGUACGAGAGGACCGGAGUGGACGCAUCACUGGUGUUCCAGUUGUCUCGCCAGAGGCAUUGCUGGGUAGCUAAGUGCGGAAGAGAUAAGUGCUGAAAGCAUCUAAGCACGAAACUUGCCAAGAGAUGAGUCAUCCCUGACUUUAAGUCAGUAAGGGUUGUUGUAGACUACGACGUAGAUAGGUCUGGUGUGUAAGUGUAGUGAUACAUUGAGCUAACAGAUACUAAUUGCCCGAGAGGCUUAACU
RNAcentral lists this ribosomal RNA (3006 nucleotides) under Haemophilus influenzae. RNAcentral's name for it is "23S ribosomal RNA". It matches the Rfam family "Bacterial large subunit ribosomal RNA". The record is from RNAcentral. Lineage: Bacteria; Pseudomonadati; Pseudomonadota; Gammaproteobacteria; Pasteurellales; Pasteurellaceae.